This 520-nucleotide ribosomal RNA is filed under the name uncultured bacterium. RNAcentral describes it as "bacterial SSU rRNA". It matches the Rfam family "Bacterial small subunit ribosomal RNA", at positions 120 to 674 of the family's 1533-position model. The record is from RNAcentral.
GGGAAUCUACCCAUCUCUGCGGAAUAGCUCUGGGAAACUGGAAUUAAUACCGCAUACGCCCUACGGGGGAAAGAUUUAUCGGGGAUGGAUGAGCCCGCGUUGGAUUAGCUAGUUGGUGGGGUAAAGGCCUACCAAGGCGACGAUCCAUAGCUGGUCUGAGAGGAUGAUCAGCCACAUUGGGACUGAGACACGGCCCAAACUCCUACGGGAGGCAGCAGUGGGGAAUAUUGGACAAUGGGCGCAAGCCUGAUCCAGCCAUGCCGCGUGAGUGAUGAAGGCCUUAGGGUUGUAAAGCUCUUUCACCGGUGAAGAUAAUGACGGUAACCGGAGAAGAAGCCCCGGCUAACUUCGUGCCAGCAGCCGCGGUAAUACGAAGGGGGCUAGCGUUGUUCGGAAUUACUGGGCGUAAAGCGCACGUAGGCGGAUAUUUAAGUCAGGGGUGAAAUCCCAGAGCUCAACUCUGGAACUGCCCUUGAUACUGGGUAUCUUGAGUAUGGAAGAGGUAAGUGGAAUUGCGAGU